GAUGAACGCUGGCGGCGUGCCUAAUACAUGCGAGUCGAGCGAACAGACGAGGAGCUUGCUCCUUCGACGUUAGCGGCGGACGGGUGAGUAACACGUAGGUAACCUACCUAUAAGACUGGGAUAACUUCGGGAAACCGGAGCUAAUACCGGAUAAUAUUUCGAACCGCAUGGUUCGAUAGUGAAAGAUGGCUUUGCUAUCACUUAUAGAUGGACCUGCGCCGUAUUAGCUAGUUGGUAAGGUAACGGCUUACCAAGGCAACGAUACGUAGCCGACCUGAGAGGGUGAUCGGCCACACUGGAACUGAGACACGGUCCAGACUCCUACGGGAGGCAGCAGUAGGGAAUCUUCCGCAAUGGGCGAAAGCCUGACGGAGCAACGCCGCGUGAGUGAUGAAGGUCUUCGGAUCGUAAAACUCUGUUAUUAGGGAAGAACAAACGUGUAAGUAACUGUGCACGUCUUGACGGUACCUAAUCAGAAAGCCACGGCUAACUACGUG
Molecule: ribosomal RNA, 497 nt
Filed under: uncultured bacterium
Lineage: Bacteria
Description: partial 16S ribosomal RNA
Rfam family: Bacterial small subunit ribosomal RNA
Source: RNAcentral